UGACCUGGGCUACACACGUGCUACAAUGGGAAGUACAACGAGUCGCGAAGUCGCGAGGCUAAGCUAAUCUCUUAAAGCUUCUCUCAGUUCGGAUUGCAGGCUGCAACUCGCCUGCAUGAAGCCGGAAUCGCUAGUAAUCGCGGAUCAGCACGCCGCGGUGAAUACGUUCCCGGGCCUUGUACACACCGCCCGUCACACCACGAGAGUUUGUAACACCCGAAGUCGGUGAGGUAACCUUUUGGAGCCAGCCGCCUAAGGUGGGAUAGAUGAUUGGGGUGAAGUCGUAACAAGGUAGCCGUAUCGGAAGGUGCGGCUGGAUCACCUCCUUUCUAAGGAA
RNAcentral lists this ribosomal RNA (337 nucleotides) under Enterococcus faecium. Its description in RNAcentral is "bacterial SSU rRNA". It matches the Rfam family "Bacterial small subunit ribosomal RNA", at positions 1205 to 1533 of the family's 1533-position model. Lineage: Bacteria; Bacillati; Bacillota; Bacilli; Lactobacillales; Enterococcaceae. The record is from RNAcentral.